GUUAGUGAUGAUGUAUAAAGCUAA
RNAcentral lists this non-coding RNA (24 nucleotides) under Cricetulus griseus (Chinese hamster). Lineage: Eukaryota; Metazoa; Chordata; Mammalia; Rodentia; Cricetidae. The record is from RNAcentral.